UACGAAGGGGGCUAGCGUUGUUCGGAAUCACUGGGCGUAAAGCGCACGUAGGCGGAUUGUUAAGUCGGGGGUGAAAUCCUGAGGCUCAACCUCAGAACUGCCUUCGAUACUGGCAAUCUCGAGUCCGGAAGAGGUUGGUGGAACAGCUAGUGUAGAGGUGAAAUUCGUAGAUAUUAGCUAGAACACCAGUGGCGAAGGCGGCCAACUGGUCCGGUACUGGACGCUGAG
Molecule: ribosomal RNA, 228 nt
Filed under: uncultured bacterium
Lineage: Bacteria
Description: partial 16S ribosomal RNA
Rfam family: Bacterial small subunit ribosomal RNA
Source: RNAcentral